CAAGGCAGGUACUAAAGAAUUUGACAAACACACUUCCUCGAGCCCCCGCCGAUUUUAUAUUCUUGAGGGUUCAUUGACAGCCCAAAAAAGUUUGAAUCAGUUUCUUAAGUGCAAGUUAAAGUUGUAUUUCUGAGAUGGUCGCAGUGCUGCAGGUGGCACCGGAGGUAGAUUUGGAGAUCUUCAGGAAGCCUGAAUAAGGUGUGAUUUGAGAUAGUUGCAGACUGGACCGGUGGGAAUUGUGCGCGGGACAGGGGCAGAUGAGAAGAUGGAUACUUGCCUAAUAUUGCGAGUGACACUUUUCGGAAUGAUGUUGCUGGGACUUGUUACUCCGGCACAAACUAAAGCGGGGUGUGUUUGCAGAGAGAAAUCAGGGUGCAACUGUGAAGGAAUCAAAGGACAAAAGACUAGAUGACAUUUUCAUUGGAUAAAGAAAUAUUUUGAAUAGAGGAUUUGUAGUUUAGCCGAAAGGUGUGAAGUUAAAAACAUCUUAAUAAUGGAUUUUUUUUACUAACAAGCAU
This is a long non-coding RNA of Cyprinus carpio (common carp), 518 nucleotides long. The record is from Ensembl. Lineage: Eukaryota; Metazoa; Chordata; Actinopteri; Cypriniformes; Cyprinidae.